This 497-nucleotide ribosomal RNA is filed under the name uncultured bacterium. RNAcentral's name for it is "partial 16S ribosomal RNA". It matches the Rfam family "Bacterial small subunit ribosomal RNA", at positions 28 to 507 of the family's 1533-position model. The record is from RNAcentral.
GAUGAACGCUGGCGGCGUGCCUAAUACAUGCAAGUCGAGCGAACAGACGAGGAGCUUGCUCCUCUGACGUUAGCGGCGGACGGGUGAGUAACACGUGGAUAACCUACCUAUAAGACUGGGAUAACUUCGGGAAACCGGAGCUAAUACCGGAUAACAUGUUGAACCGCAUGGUUCAACAGUGAAAGACGGUCUUGCUGUCACUUAUAGAUGGAUCCGCGCCGCAUUAGCUAGUUGGUAAGGUAACGGCUUACCAAGGCAACGAUGCGUAGCCGACCUGAGAGGGUGAUCGGCCACACUGGAACUGAGACACGGUCCAGGCUCCUACGGGAGGCAGCAGUAGGGAAUCCUCCGCAAUGGGCGAAAGCCUGACGGAGCAACGCCGCGUGAGUGAAGAAGGUCUUCGGAUCGUAAAACUCUGUUAUUAGGGAAGAACAAAUGUGUAAGUAACUAUGCACGUCUUGACGGUACCUAAUCAGAAAGCCACGGCUAACUACGUG